GUCCCCAUCGUCUAGCCUGGUCAGGACAAGAGCUUUUCAAGCUCUCGACACCGGUCCAAAUCCGGUUGGGGACG
RNAcentral lists this transfer RNA (74 nucleotides) under Candidatus Omnitrophota bacterium. RNAcentral's name for it is "tRNA-Glu". It matches the Rfam family "tRNA". From Rfam's summary of the family: Transfer RNA (tRNA) molecules are approximately 80 nucleotides in length. Their secondary structure includes four short double-helical elements and three loops (D, anti-codon, and T loops). Further hydrogen bonds mediate the characteristic L-shaped molecular structure. tRNAs have two regions of fundamental functional importance: the anti-codon, which is responsible for specific mRNA codon recognition, and the 3' end, to which the tRNAs corresponding amino acid is attached (by aminoacyl-tRNA synthetases). tRNAs cope with the degeneracy of the genetic code in two manners: having more than one tRNA (with a specific anti-codon) for a particular amino acid; and 'wobble' base-pairing, i.e. permitting non-standard base-pairing at the 3rd anti-codon position. Lineage: Bacteria; Pseudomonadati; Candidatus Omnitrophota. The record is from RNAcentral.